GAUGAACGCUGGCGGCGUGCCUAACACAUGCAAGUCGAGCGAACCCUUCGGGGUGAGCGGCGGACGGGUGAGUAACGCGUGGGUAACCUGCCCUAUACACACGGAUAACAUACCGAAAGGUAUGCUAAUACGAGAUAAAAUAAGAGAUUCGCAUGGAUUUCUUAUCAAAGCUCCGGCGGUAUAGGAUGGACCCGCGUCUGAUUAGCUAGUUGGUAAGGUAACGGCUUACCAAGGCGACGAUCAGUAGCCGACCUGAGAGGGUGAUCGGCCACAUUGGAACUGAGACACGGUCCAAACUCCUACGGGAGGCAGCAGUGGGGAAUAUUGCACAAUGGGCGAAAGCCUGAUGCAGCAACGCCGCGUGAGCGAUGAAGGCCUUCGGGUCGUAAAGCUCUGUCCUCAAGGAAGAUAAUGACGGUACUUGAGGAGGAAGCCCCGGCUAACUACGUGCCAGCAGCCGCGGUAAUACGUAGGGGGCUAGCGUUAUCCGGAAUUACUGGGCGUAAAGGGUGCGUAGGUGGUUUCUUAAGUCAGAGGUGAAAGGCUACGGCUCAACCGUAGUAAGCCUUUGAAACUGAGAAACUUGAGUGCAGGAGAGGAGAGUAGAAUUCCUAGUGUAGCGGUGAAAUGCGUAGAUAUUAGGAGGAAUACCAGUUGCGAAGGCGGCUCUCUGGACUGUAACUGACACUGAGGCACGAAAGCGUGGGGAGCAAAUAGGAUUAGAUACCCUGGUAGUCCACGCCGUAAACGAUGAGUACUAGCUGUCGGAGGUUACCCCCUUCGGUGGCGCAGCUAACGCAUUAAGUACUCCGCCUGGGAAGUACGCUCGCAAGAGUGAAACUCAAAGGAAUUGACGGGGACCCGCACAAGUAGCGGAGCAUGUGGUUUAAUUCGAAGCAACGCGAAGAACCUUACCUAAGCUUGACAUCCUUCUGACCUCUCCUUAAUCGGAGAUUUCCCUUCGGGGACAGAAGUGACAGGUGGUGCAUGGUUGUCGUCAGCUCGUGUCGUGAGAUGUUGGGUUAAGUCCCGCAACGAGCGCAACCCUUGCCUUUAGUUGCCAGCAUUAAGUUGGGCACUCUAGAGGGACUGCCAGGGAUAACCUGGAGGAAGGUGGGGAUGACGUCAAAUCAUCAUGCCCCUUAUGCUUAGGGCUACACACGUGCUACAAUGGGUGGUACAGAGGGCAGCCAAGUCGUGAGGCGGAGCUAAUCCCUUAAAGCCAUUCUCAGUUCGGAUUGUAGGCUGAAACUCGCCUACAUGAAGCUGGAGUUACUAGUAAUCGCAGAUCAGAAUGCUGCGGUGAAUGCGUU
This 1313-nucleotide ribosomal RNA is filed under the name uncultured bacterium. Its description in RNAcentral is "bacterial SSU rRNA". It matches the Rfam family "Bacterial small subunit ribosomal RNA", at positions 28 to 1372 of the family's 1533-position model. The record is from RNAcentral.